UUCUGAUUAUUGAAAGGUGCUUGCAUCUUGAUUUAAUUUUGAACGAGUGGCGGACGGGUGAGUAACACGUGGGUAACCUGCCCUUAAGUGGGGGAUAACAUUUGGAAACAGAUGCUAAUACCGCAUAAAUCCAAGAACCGCAUGGUUCUUGGCUGAAAGAUGGCGUAAGCUAUCGCUUUUGGAUGGACCCGCGGCGUAUUAGCUAGUUGGUGAGGUAACGGCUCACCAAGGCAAUGAUACGUAGCCGAACUGAGAGGUUGAUCGGCCACAUUGGGACUGAGACACGGCCCAAACUCCUACGGGAGGCAGCAGUAGGGAAUCUUCCACAAUGGACGCAAGUCUGAUGGAGCAACGCCGCGUGAGUGAAGAAGGCUUUCGGGUCGUAAAACUCUGUUGUUGGAGAAGAAUGGUCGGCAGAGUAACUGUUGUCGGCGUGACGGUAUCCAACCAGAAAGCCACGGCUAACUACGUGCCAGCAGCCGCGGUAAUACGUAGGUGGCAAGCGUUAUCCGGAUUUAUUGGGCGUAAAGCGAGCGCAGGCGGUUUUUUAAGUCUGAUGUGAAAGCCCUCGGCUUAACCGAGGAAGUGCAUCGGAAACUGGGAAACUUGAGUGCAGAAGAGGACAGUGGAACUCCAUGUGUAGCGGUGAAAUGCGUAGAUAUAUGGAAGAACACCAGUGGCGAAGGCGGCUGUCUGGUCUGUAACUGACGCUGAGGCUCGAAAGCAUGGGUAGCGAACAGGAUUAGAUACCCUGGUAGUCCAUGCCGUAAACGAUGAAUGCUAGGUGUUGGAGGGUUUCCGCCCUUCAGUGCCGCAGCUAACGCAUUAAGCAUUCCGCCUGGGGAGUACGACCGCAAGGUUGAAACUCAAAGGAAUUGACGGGGGCCCGCACAAGCGGUGGAGCAUGUGGUUUAAUUCGAAGCAACGCGAAGAACCUUACCAGGUCUUGACAUCUUUUGAUCACCUGAGAGAUCAGGUUUCCCCUUCGGGGGCAAAAUGACAGGUGGUGCAUGGUUGUCGUCAGCUCGUGUCGUGAGAUGUUGGGUUAAGUCCCGCAACGAGCGCAACCCUUAUGACUAGUUGCCAGCAUUUAGUUGGGCACUCUAGUAAGACUGCCGGUGACAAACCGGAGGAAGGUGGGGAUGACGUCAAAUCAUCAUGCCCCUUAUGACCUGGGCUACACACGUGCUACAAUGGAUGGUACAACGAGUUGCGAGACCGCGAGGUCAAGCUAAUCUCUUAAAGCCAUUCUCAGUUCGGACUGUAGGCUGCAACUCGCCUACACGAAGUCGGAAUCGCUAGUAAUCGCGGAUCAGCACGCCGCGGUGAAUACGUUCCCGGGCCUUGUACACACCGCCCGUCACACCAUGAGAGUUUGUAACACCCGAAGCCGGUGGCGUAACCCUUUUAGGGAGCGAGCCGUCUAAGGUGGGACAAAUGAUUAGGGUGAAGUCGUAACAG
RNAcentral lists this ribosomal RNA (1461 nucleotides) under Lacticaseibacillus rhamnosus. RNAcentral describes it as "bacterial SSU rRNA". It matches the Rfam family "Bacterial small subunit ribosomal RNA". The record is from RNAcentral. Lineage: Bacteria; Bacillati; Bacillota; Bacilli; Lactobacillales; Lactobacillaceae.